GGUAGCUCAGUCGGUAGAACAGGGGGCUGAAAAUCCCUGUGUCGGCAGUUCGAUUCUAUUCAAACA
Molecule: transfer RNA, 66 nt
Filed under: Acidiferrobacteraceae bacterium
Lineage: Bacteria; Pseudomonadati; Pseudomonadota; Gammaproteobacteria; Acidiferrobacterales; Acidiferrobacteraceae
Description: tRNA-Phe
Source: RNAcentral